Long non-coding RNA from Exaiptasia diaphana, 590 nucleotides. RefSeq lists it as uncharacterized. NCBI's taxonomy places the organism in Eukaryota, Metazoa, Cnidaria, Anthozoa, Actiniaria, Aiptasiidae. The transcript is spliced from 3 exons. The record is from RefSeq and is a predicted model, not a curated record.
GUCUCUCUUUGAUUUCGAUUGACCGCACCCUAGUAAUGAGUGUGCCAACAGAUUUCAAUUCAACCGUCAAAUGAAACAAUUCGCAUUGAAUCUCAGAUUGCAGCCACUUCUAAUGAUAUCUAAUUAUGUAUGUUAUGCAGGUAAUACUAUAUACAAACCUUGGUAAACUUAAAACUAAAUCAAAAGUAAUUGAAACUCUAGUCAAACGACAAACAAAUCACUAGUUUUAGAUCGAGGGCUGAACGUUAGAGUCAAAGAAACAGUUAUGCAAAAAGAAACACCGGCGCAUCUCACACUAGUUUCGAUCGCCAUUGGAGUCAAAGUCUGGCUAACAGAAGUGGCGCGGCAGAAUAACAUAACAUGAGUUUCCACCGCCCCGUUUGAGUCAAGUCUGGCUAACAGAAGCGGCGCGGCAGAAUAACAUAACAUGAGGUAAGGAUUAAACCUUGUAAUAAUGCUGGCAAUAAUCUUAUGUUCACAUAGAAUCCAUGAUGACAUAGAGAAUUAACAUAUUUUUGUUUGUCGUUAGUUUUGAAUCAGGAACAUAAAUCGAUGCGAAGAGACUUUUGGACAUGAAUCGAAAAAAAAAA